Molecule: ribosomal RNA, 1814 nt
Filed under: metagenome
Description: bacterial LSU rRNA
Rfam family: Bacterial large subunit ribosomal RNA
Source: RNAcentral
UCAAGCGUUUAAGGGCGAUUGGCGGAUGCCUUGGCACUGUAAGACGAUGAAGGACGUGGUAUACUGCGAUAAGUUUCGGGGAGCUGUAUGCAGGCUUUGAUCCGAAAAUUUCCGAAUGGGGAAACCUAACACUUCGUGUGUUACUUUAUACUGAAUUCAUAGGUGUAAAGAGUGAACCUGGAGAACUGAAACAUCUAAGUAACCAGAGGAAAAGAAAUCAAUUGAGAUUCCGUUAGUAGUGGCGAGCGAAAGCGGACUAGGCCAGUAGAUUUGUUAAAAAAAUUUGAAUAGUUUGGAAAAACUAACCACAGAGGGUGAUAGUCCCGUAUAAGUAAUGUUUAACAAAAUUCUUGAGUAAAGCGGGACACGUGAAAUCCUGCUCGAAUAUAGGGGGACCACCCUCUAAGCCUAAAUACUCUUCAGUGACCGAUAGUGAACUAGUACCGUGAGGGAAAGGUGAAAAGAACCCCUAUUAGGGGAGUGAAAUAGAACCUGAAACCGAUUGCCUACAAACAGUCGAAGCUCUUUUUAGAGUGACGGCGUACCUUUUGUAUAAUGGGUCAGUGACUUAAUUUAUUAAGCAAGCUUAAGCCAUCUAGGUGUAGGCGCAGCGAAAGCAAGUCUUAAUAGGGCGAUUAGUUUAAUGAAUUAGACCCGAAAACGAAUGAGCUUACCAUGAGCAGGUUGAAAGCAAGGUAACACUUGCCGGAGGACCGAACCAGUUGACGUUGAAAAGUCUUUGGAUGACUUGUGGUAAGGGGUGAAAGGCCAACCAAAUUCGUAGAUAGCUGGUUUUCCGCGAAAACUAUUUAGGUAGUGCGUUGAAUAAACAUAUGUUUGGAGGUAGAGCACUAAAUGGGCUAGGGGAGAGAAAUCUUUACCAAACCUAAUAAAACUCCGAAUGCCAAAAGUCAUUCCUCAACAGACAGACUGUGGGUGCUAAGGUCCAUGGUCGAGAGGGGAACAGCCCAGAUCACCAGAUAAGGUCCCUAAAUCAUGAUUAAGUGUGAAAGGAUGUGGAGAUUCCAUAACAGCCGGGAGGUUGGCUUAGAAGCAGCCAUCCUUUAAAGAUAGCGUAACAGCUCACCGGUCUAAUAGAGUUUCUGCGCCGAAGAUGUAACGGGGCUAAAAUCAUAUACCGAAUCUGUGGGUUUAUAAAAUUUUCGAAUUUUAUAAGCGGUAGCGGAACGUUCUGUAAGCCUGUGAAGGAAUACCCGUGAGGGAUUCUGGAGGUAUCAGAAGUGCGAAUGCUGACAUAAGUAACGAUAAACGAAGUGAAAAACUUCGUCGCCGAAAAUCCAAGGGUUUCUGCGCAAGGUUAAUCCGCGCAGAGUUAGUCGGCACCUAAGGCGAGGGCGAAAGCCGUAGUCGAUGGAAAUAAGGUUAAUAUUCCUUAACCAGAUGGAAGUGACGGAUCUUGUAAGUUGUGAGUUCUUAAUGGAUUGAGCUUGCCGCGAAGAAGUCCCAGGAAAUAGCUCCAUCAUUAGACCGUACCCGAAACCGACACAGGUAGAUUAAUAGAGUAUAUUUAGGCGCUUGAGAGAAUGAUGUUGAAGGAACUCGGCAAAAUGCCUCUGUAACUUCGGAAGAAAGAGGACCUAUUUUUGGGCAACCAUAAAUAGGUGGCACAAGCCAGGGAGAAGCGACUGUUUAUCAAAAACACAGGACUCUGCUAACACGUAAGUGGAUGUAUAGGGUCUGACGCCUGCCCGGUGCUGGAAGGUUAAUGCGAUGGGUGCAAGCUCAUUUCUGAAGCCCCAGUAAACGGCGGCCGUAACUAUAACGGUCCUAAGGUAGCGAAAUUCCUUGUCGGG